GAGGCUGUGCUCAGAGGCAGAGCACUUGCCUAGCAUGCGUGAGCCACUGGGUUCGAAUCUCAGCACCACA
Molecule: transfer RNA, 70 nt
Filed under: Marmota monax (woodchuck)
Lineage: Eukaryota; Metazoa; Chordata; Mammalia; Rodentia; Sciuridae
Description: tRNA.Ala
Source: RNAcentral